Molecule: ribosomal RNA, 500 nt
Filed under: uncultured bacterium
Lineage: Bacteria
Description: partial 16S ribosomal RNA
Rfam family: Bacterial small subunit ribosomal RNA
Source: RNAcentral
AUUGAACGCUGGCGGAAUGCUUUACACAUGCAAGUCGAACGGCAGCACGGACUUCGGUCUGGUGGCGAGUGGCGAACGGGUGAGUAAUACAUCGGAACGUGCCCAGUCGUGGGGGAUAACGUAGCGAAAGCUACGCUAAUACCGCAUACGAUCUAAGGAUGAAAGCGGGGGAUCGCAAGACCUCGCGCGAUUGGAGCGGCCGAUAUCAGAUUAGGUAGUUGGUGGGGUAAAGGCUCACCAAGCCGACGAUCUGUAGCUGGUCUGAGAGGACGACCAGCCACACGGGGACUGAGACACGGCCCAGACUCCUACGGGAGGCAGCAGUGGGGAAUUUUGGACAAUGGGCGAAAGCCUGAUCCAGCCAUGCCGCGUGCAGGAUGAAGGCCUUCGGGUUGUAAACUGCUUUUGUACGGAACGAAAAGGUUUGGCCUAAUAAGCUGAGCUCAUGACGGUACCGUAAGAAUAAGCACCGGUUAACUCCGUGCCAGCCGCCGCAGUAA